CGCACGGGUGAGUAACACGUAUCCAACCUGCCGUCUACUCUUGGCCAGCCUUCUGAAAGGAAGAUUAAUCCAGGAUGGCAUCAUGAGUUCACAUGUCCGCAUGAUUAAAGGUAUUUUCCGGUAGACGAUGGGGAUGCGUUCCAUUAGAUAGUAGGCGGGGUAACGGCCCACCUAGUCAACGAUGGAUAGGGGUUCUGAGAGGAAGGUCCCCCACAUUGGAACUGAGGCACGGUCCAA
This 237-nucleotide ribosomal RNA is filed under the name uncultured bacterium. RNAcentral's name for it is "partial 16S ribosomal RNA". It matches the Rfam family "Bacterial small subunit ribosomal RNA", at positions 99 to 334 of the family's 1533-position model. The record is from RNAcentral.